Molecule: small nuclear RNA, 22 nt
Filed under: Arabidopsis thaliana (thale cress)
Lineage: Eukaryota; Viridiplantae; Streptophyta; Magnoliopsida; Brassicales; Brassicaceae
Description: snRNA_08604
Source: RNAcentral
ACAAACAUACAAAGCUAAAAAC